CCAGGACAGACUGAGAACCUUCUGGCUUCAAUGCAGAUCUGGCCCCUGGGAAGGACAAAGGGAGGACAAGAAAGGUCCUAUGGAAAACUGUUAGAUUCUGGGUUGGUUGGGAUGACAGGCUUGAGCCACAACCCCGUCCAUUCAAGAGUACUCAUUACAGGAUUUCCAUUAACAGUGAAGUUGUGAAAAACUUCAAUCACUAGCAAAUGAAAACUGAAGCAGGCUGAAAUAAACACUAUGGACUGCACCAGCAACCGGCCAGGGCAGCAUCUGAGACUCAGAAAAAUCUUCAGGAUAAAUUGUCAGGAAACCUGGAACUGGCAAGCAAGCCCACAGACUGGAGGCCGGAAGUCGAUGACCAGAGUGCCAGCAGCACAGACCAAACUGGGAGGAAUCCAUUCUGGGUUGUGGAUGGCCACCUGCUUGCCGGGUUCUCACGUGGCCAGGAGUCCAAGUGAGCAGGAUUGCCCACCUCUUCCUCAUGCAGCGUGAGGGAGGGACUGAACCCAGGGCUUGUGUUUGCCAGACCGGCAGUCCUUCCGCUGAGCUCCACCCCGCCACCCAUUUUCUCACAUGGCCACUGGACUUUACUGUUUUCUUCCCCAACAUAAUUUUAUUAAUCAUUUCAGACAACGUACCCUGGUUACAUUUGUUUCCCAUUCUUCUCACCCUUGUGUCCCAGCCC
Molecule: long non-coding RNA, 685 nt
Filed under: Rattus norvegicus (Norway rat)
Lineage: Eukaryota; Metazoa; Chordata; Mammalia; Rodentia; Muridae
Description: long non-coding RNA NONRATT031608
Source: RNAcentral